CAGUAGCCGCGGUAAUACGAAGGGUGCAAGCGUUAAUCGGAAUUACUGGGCGUAGAGCGCGCGUAGGUGGUUCAUUAAGCUGGAUGUGAAAGCCCUGGGCUCAACCUGGGAACUGCAUCCAAAACUGGUGAGCUAGAGUACGGUAGAGGGUAGUGGAAUUUCCUGUGUAGCGGUGAAAUGCGUAGAUAUAGGAAGGAACACCAGUGGCGAAGGCGACUACCUGGACUGAUACUGACACUGAGGUGCGAAAGCGUGGGGAGCAAACAGGAUUAGAUACCCCCGUAGUCCCUGUCUCUUAUAC
This 301-nucleotide ribosomal RNA is filed under the name uncultured bacterium. RNAcentral's name for it is "partial 16S ribosomal RNA". It matches the Rfam family "Bacterial small subunit ribosomal RNA", at positions 509 to 807 of the family's 1533-position model. The record is from RNAcentral.